AUUGAACGCUGGCGGCAGGCCUAACACAUGCAAGUCGGGCGAGCGGCGGACGGGUGAGUAAUGUAUGGGGAACUGCCUGACGGUGGGGGACAACUACUGGAAACGGUAGCUAAUACCGCAUACCAGCGGAUGUGCCCAGAUGGGAUUAGCUAGUAGGUGGGGGAACGGGUCACAUAGGCGACGAUCCCUAGCUGUUCUGAGAGGAUGACCAGCCACACUGGAACUUAGACACGGUCCAGACUCCUACGGGAGGCAGCAGUAGGGAAUAUUGGACAAUGGGCGCAAGCCUGAUGCAGCCAUGCCGCGUGUAUGAAGAAGGCCUUCGGGUUGUAAAGUGCUUUCAGCGAGGAGGCGUUACUCGCAGAAGAAGCACCGGCUAACUCCGUGCCAGCCGCCGCGGUAAUUC
This 406-nucleotide ribosomal RNA is filed under the name uncultured bacterium. RNAcentral describes it as "partial 16S ribosomal RNA". It matches the Rfam family "Bacterial small subunit ribosomal RNA", at positions 30 to 526 of the family's 1533-position model. The record is from RNAcentral.